This 68-nucleotide ribosomal RNA is filed under the name Potamon ruttneri. Its description in RNAcentral is "partial large subunit ribosomal RNA". Lineage: Eukaryota; Metazoa; Arthropoda; Malacostraca; Decapoda; Potamidae. The record is from RNAcentral.
UUCUAUCUUUUAAAUUAAUAUAAGUUAUUUUAGUACGAAAGGAGUAAAUAAUUAAAAUAUUUUUAUAA